GKGCAUUUCCCUAAUUCCCCUCUCCUAGUAGGACGCCGCGACCGGCUGUCGAGGGGAGCCCAKGAGCUGAUUGGAGCAGCUGCGCGGACGAGUAAGGGACUUGCUCUCUGCGUAUGGUCUGUCUGUCUCCUUUCAAUUGGUGGGUUGCUUCCUCCGGCCGAGGAUACGUGCGAGUUGAACCUCUCGGGGUUCCUCGUCCAUGUACGUGCCUACGACUGUUAACGUUGCGGGUCGACAAAACCCCACGGGUGGCAGCGGGAUUCUGCGCGCCAGUCCUAGUGAUUGCGCGUGUCGGUUUCCUUUAGUCAGCCACCGUCGGUCAAGGUAUUGACUCCCGCUUUAUGGGCGCUAGGGGUCGGCGGCGAGUAGGUCGGUUUCCCACCCGACCCGUCUUGAAACACGGACCAAGAAGUCUAAUGUGCGGGCGAGUCUUCGGGGUAAUGAUAACCCUUGGAAGGCGAAAUGAAAGUGAAGGUUUGGUAGAUCACGUUUCGGCGUGGUCACCAGCCUGGGUGGGAUCCAUCGUCUAAUGGCGAAGGCGCACCACCGGCCCGUC
This 556-nucleotide ribosomal RNA is filed under the name Polydesmida sp. NZAC03010897. Its description in RNAcentral is "partial 28S ribosomal RNA". The record is from RNAcentral. Lineage: Eukaryota; Metazoa; Arthropoda; Diplopoda; Polydesmida.